Molecule: ribosomal RNA, 577 nt
Filed under: Staphylococcus sp. HMSC035D11
Lineage: Bacteria; Bacillati; Bacillota; Bacilli; Caryophanales; Staphylococcaceae
Description: bacterial SSU rRNA
Rfam family: Bacterial small subunit ribosomal RNA
Source: RNAcentral
GAGUAACACGUAGGUAACCUACCUAUAAGACUGGGAUAACUUCGGGAAACCGGAGCUAAUACCGGAUAAUAUUUCGAACCGCAUGGUUCGAUAGUGAAAGAUGGCUUUGCUAUCACUUAUAGAUGGACCUGCGCCGUAUUAGCUAGUUGGUAAGGUAACGGCUUACCAAGGCAACGAUACGUAGCCGACCUGAGAGGGUGAUCGGCCACACUGGAACUGAGACACGGUCCAGACUCCUACGGGAGGCAGCAGUAGGGAAUCUUCCGCAAUGGGCGAAAGCCUGACGGAGCAACGCCGCGUGAGUGAUGAAGGUCUUCGGAUCGUAAAACUCUGUUAUUAGGGAAGAACAAACGUGUAAGUAACUGUGCACGUCUUGACGGUACCUAAUCAGAAAGCCACGGCUAACUACGUGCCAGCAGCCGCGGUAAUACGUAGGUGGCAAGCGUUAUCCGGAAUUAUUGGGCGUAAAGCGCGCGUAGGCGGUUUUUUAAGUCUGAUGUGAAAGCCCACGGCUCAACCGUGGAGGGUCAUUGGAAACUGGAAAACUUGAGUGCAGAAGAGGAAAGUGGAAUUCCAU